UACGUAUGGAGCAAGCGUUAUCCGGAUUUACUGGGUGUAAAGGGAGCGUAGACGGCAUGGCAAGUCUGAUGUGAAAGCCCGGGGCUCAACCCCGGAACUGCAUUGGAAACUGUUUUUCUUGAGUACCGGAGAGGUCAUCGGAAUUCCUUGUGUAGCGGUGAAAUGCGUAGAUAUUAGGAGGAACACCGGUGGCGAAGGCGGCUUACUGGACUGUAACUGACACUGAGGCUCGAAAGCGUGGGGAGCAA
RNAcentral lists this ribosomal RNA (248 nucleotides) under uncultured Lachnospiraceae bacterium. RNAcentral describes it as "partial 16S ribosomal RNA". It matches the Rfam family "Bacterial small subunit ribosomal RNA", at positions 524 to 771 of the family's 1533-position model. The record is from RNAcentral. Lineage: Bacteria; Bacillati; Bacillota; Clostridia; Lachnospirales; Lachnospiraceae.